UGGGGAAUAUUGCACAAUGGAGGGAACUCUGAUGCAGCGACGCCGCGUGAGUGAUGAAGGAAUUCGUUUCGUAAAACUCUGUUCUAUGGGAAGAAAAGGACUGUACCAUAGGAGAAAGCUCCGGCUAAAUACGUGCCAGCAGCCGCGGUAAUACGUAUGGAGCGAGCGUUGUCCGGAAUUAUUGGGCGUAAAGGGUGCGCAGGCGGCUUUACAAGUUGGAUGUGAAAUAUUGUGGCUCAACCACAAACGUGCAUCCAAAACUGCAAAGCUUGAGUUAAGGAGAGGUAAGUGGAAUUCCUGGUGUAGCGGUGGAAUGCGUAGAUAUCAGGAGGAAUACCGGUGGCGAAGGCGACUUACUGGACUUAAACUGACGCUCAGGCACGAAAGCGUGGGGAGCAAACAUG
This 404-nucleotide ribosomal RNA is filed under the name Fusobacteriota bacterium. Its description in RNAcentral is "Fusobacteria bacterium partial 16S ribosomal RNA". It matches the Rfam family "Bacterial small subunit ribosomal RNA", at positions 355 to 776 of the family's 1533-position model. The record is from RNAcentral. Lineage: Bacteria; Fusobacteriati; Fusobacteriota.